RNAcentral lists this transfer-messenger RNA (289 nucleotides) under Bacillota bacterium. RNAcentral describes it as "partial transfer-messenger RNA". It matches the Rfam family "transfer-messenger RNA", at positions 70 to 374 of the family's 374-position model. From Rfam's summary of the family: Bacterial tmRNA, also known as 10Sa RNA or SsrA, is named for its dual tRNA and mRNA-like properties. Its role is to liberate the mRNA from a stalled ribosome. The record is from RNAcentral. Lineage: Bacteria; Bacillati; Bacillota.
AAAACAAGACCCGUUAAAUAUAAACGCUAAAAGAAACAACACAUUCGCAAUCGCAGCAUAAGCUGCACCGCGCGUCAGCCUGAGUUUACCCGUAGGCUUUGGUACUGGCGUCGACUAUACGGGGAACCCUUGUGUGAAUUCCCGGCAGCACAAGGCCUAACGGGAUAGGCGAGGCAGAAGCUUGUUAAUGGGCGUCCGCUGAGCCGAAACGACAAAUCAUUAACUGCGCUCGGAGAAAGUCCUGCGGACGUGCUUUUGGACGCGAGUUCGACUCUCGCCGCUUCCACCA